Molecule: transfer RNA, 76 nt
Filed under: bacterium HR27
Lineage: Bacteria
Description: tRNA-Glu
Rfam family: tRNA
About the family: Transfer RNA (tRNA) molecules are approximately 80 nucleotides in length. Their secondary structure includes four short double-helical elements and three loops (D, anti-codon, and T loops).
Source: RNAcentral
GCCCCCAUCGUCUAGAGGCCUAGGACACCACCCUUUCAAGGUGGAGAUCGCGGGUUCGAAUCCCGCUGGGGGCACC